Molecule: long non-coding RNA, 237 nt
Filed under: Elaeis guineensis (African oil palm)
Lineage: Eukaryota; Viridiplantae; Streptophyta; Magnoliopsida; Arecales; Arecaceae
Description: long non-coding RNA (EGUI_LNC073506)
Source: RNAcentral
AGCUGGAACCGAACCACGACAAAGCACCGUCCACCUAACCUUUGCAGUCAUCCAAAUACCUUCGGUCUACAACGCCAUACUUGAAAGACUUGGGCUAAAUGCCCUCAAAGCUAUAGUCUCAACCUACCACCUGCUGGUUUGGCUCUCGAUCAAAAAUAGAGUCAGAGAGAUGCGCGGGGAUCAACAGCUCGUUCGGCGAUGCUUUCAGAUCUCUGCUUGAAGUAACGAAGCGAAGGA